Molecule: ribosomal RNA, 387 nt
Filed under: uncultured bacterium
Lineage: Bacteria
Description: bacterial SSU rRNA
Rfam family: Bacterial small subunit ribosomal RNA
Source: RNAcentral
AUUGAACGCUGGCGGAAUGCUUUACACAUGCAAGUCGAACGGUAGAGGGGGCAACCCCCUUGAGAGUGGCGAACGGGUGAGUAAUAUAUCGGAACGUGCCCAGUCAUGGGGGAUAACGUAGCGAAAGUUACGCUAAUACCGCAUACGAUCUAAGGAUGAAAGCGGGGGAUCGCAAGACCUCGCGCGAUUGGAGCGGCCGAUAUCAGAUUAGGUAGUUGGUGAGGUAAAGGCUCACCAAGCCAACGAUCUGUAGCUGGUCUGAGAGGACGACCAGCACACUGGAACUGAGACACGGUCCAGACUCCUACGGGAGGCAGCAGUGGGGAAUUUUGGACAAUGGGCGCAAGCCUGAUCCAGCAAUGCCGCGUGCAGGAUGAAGGCCUUCGG